CCCUUAGAUGUUCUGGGCCGCACGCGCGCUACACUGAUGCAUUCAACGAGUUACCUUGGCCGAGAGGCCUGGGCAAUCUUUUGAACGUGCAUCGUGAUAGGGAUAGAUUAUUGCAAUUAUUAAUCUUGAACGAGGAAUUCCUAGUAAACGCAGUUCAUCAAACUGCAUUGAUUACGUCCCUGCCCUUUGUACACACCGCCCGUCGCUCCUACCGAUUGAAUGAUCCGAUGAAUAUCAUGGAUUGAGGAUGCAAGCAGGUUCGCCUGUCUUCAUCUUCGAGAAGUGAAGUAAAUCUUAUCAUUUAGAGGAAGGAGAAGUCGUAACA
RNAcentral lists this ribosomal RNA (325 nucleotides) under uncultured eukaryote. RNAcentral describes it as "partial 18S ribosomal RNA". It matches the Rfam family "Eukaryotic small subunit ribosomal RNA", at positions 1470 to 1796 of the family's 1831-position model. The record is from RNAcentral.